UUUGCGAAUCGUCCGCUAUCAUUUAACAUUGGACUGUAAAAUAAACAACAUACAAUGCAGAAGCAAGCCUUUACUCAAGUAACCAAUUCAUCGUCUAUUCCGGAUUUUAUUUUACGAGAUAACCUUCAUUUAACCACAGAAUGUAAAGAGCAAUUGCAGGAUUUAAGACAACGUAUUCACGACUAUAUUGAUGGUGAGACCGAUGUAACAAUAUCAGUUUACGUCACUGGGGGAUUAUAUGAUGAAUUAUAUAAGUUCAGACUCGGAGAUGGAACUGAACAUUUGAUAAUAAAUGUCUGUAAUCAUAACACUACACAUGUGUAUGGAACUGAUCGAAAAAGAACACAAAUCUACAGAAAUACCAAGGAAGCCCUUCUUAAGCUUGGUGGUGGGGCUGCGGUGACGAUGGUUGCCAGUACUUUAGGACCUGGUGCAGCUCUUCUUGGUUUGCUUGCAUUUUGCUACAUGGAUAUUCGAAAAAACUUCUUGCAAAUUGAUGAUAAGUGAAUUUGUUAUUCUUGUAUUGAACUUCAGUUGAAAUCCGUUAUGUCAUUUCAACUAUGACAGGUAGCCAAUAAAUGAACAAAUGCAAUUU
This is a long non-coding RNA of Mytilus californianus (California mussel), 595 nucleotides long. RefSeq lists it as uncharacterized. The transcript has 2 exons. NCBI's taxonomy places the organism in Eukaryota, Metazoa, Mollusca, Bivalvia, Mytilida, Mytilidae. The record is from RefSeq and is a predicted model, not a curated record.